This 306-nucleotide ribosomal RNA is filed under the name uncultured bacterium. RNAcentral's name for it is "partial 16S ribosomal RNA". It matches the Rfam family "Bacterial small subunit ribosomal RNA", at positions 505 to 809 of the family's 1533-position model. The record is from RNAcentral.
GACAGCAGCAGCCGCGGUAAUACAGAGGAUGCAAGCGUUAAUCGGAAUUACUGGGCGUAAAGCGGGCGCAGACGGUUACUUAAGCAGGAUGUGAAAUCCCCGGGCUCAACCUGGGAAUUGCGUCCUGAACUGGGUGGCUAGAGUGUGUCAGAGGGGGGUAGAACUCCACGUGUAGCAGUGAAAUGCGUAGAGAUGCGGAGGAAUACCGAUGGCGAAGGCAGCCCCCUGGGAUAGCACUGACGUUCAUGCCCGAAAGCGUGGGUAGCAAACAGGAUUAGAUACCCCCGUAGUCCCUGUCUCUUAUAU